CUUUUACCCCCUCACUCACGACAGUUUAUACCCCUCUCUCACCGUCAAUUCUUCCCUCCCCCAACCCUGUGGUUCUUCUCAGGUUCUACCUCUCAGUUCACAUUGCCAAUGGAAUCGACCGAUAUGGGUUUGGUCAUAAUAGUCCCCAUCACCAGACCCCACCAGCCAUCACCUCGUGGGUACCAUGGCUGAUUCAUCUUCAAAAUCGAUUGCAACGGUGCGGCAUUGAUGGAUUCGUGAAACCACAGGGAGAACCAUAGAAGAUCAAAUUCUACUUGGGCUUUGUCUCUUUUAAGAAUGCUUGGGGGAGGUUUGAUAUUGUGGGCCUUCUAAGAUAGAAGUUCAAUAGCAGUUUUGGGUAUAUGGGGACAACCAAAGCUGCAAUGGACAUGGAUUAUGAAUCAAUAUUUUGAGGUGAUGUUAACAACUACACCAUUGUUCAAAUGAACUCACAAAACUCCAGUGCCACAAGUACACAAUUGAAGAGCUUCAACAAUGUUGACAUUGUCCUCUUUAGCAAUCAGAUUGACCAGAUGAAUAUGGAGAAAGGUACAUCAUGGACAACAGUACCUAAUCUUUCUCCCACUCUCUUUGGUAUUGGAACACCAAUGUUUCAUUUUAUUAUUAUUUUUUUCCUUUUGGGUUUCAAUUCUGGCAGAUUAUUAUUGGAACACGAGUGUUUGAAGAAAUGCUUAAACUGAACUUUGGAUUGGAUGUGUGGCACCCAAUUGUUUAUGCACGUACUAUGCUAUUUACAGAUUUCUUUUAAAUUUUGUUGCGAAUUGUGAUAUCAAUAUUUGGUUAAGAUUAAUACUUUGAACUAGAUUCUCAUGUUGUAGUUGCUUUAUGGUUAGAUACAUAAUUUGGAUCUAUGUAACUUUCUUCCUACCAGAUAGUUAGAUACUCUUUUUUUUUUUGGUAAAAAUUUCCACACCCUGCUGUUGUUGAUUAGUCAUAAAGCUAAUUAAGCUAUUUGUCUUAGUGAGAAGAACAUGUAUUUUCAUGUUCUAUGGUUCUAUCUACCAAAUUACUCUCAGUUCUUGGUUUGCAAAAGUCUGAUUGCAAAAUUAAGAUUAGAGCUCUUAUAGAGAAGACAAUGACAAUGUGCCAUUUUUUCCAGGGCUUUCUGCCAUGGAGGCUUAUGCUGCUAUGCAAAGGGUUCACCCAAUGAAAUUUGGAUUUCAUUAGCAUAUCAAAUUUCAGUUUGAGUCCGACAAAAUCUUUAUUCAAAAUUUCCACAUUUUCCCUCCUUUCAAUGAGUUCAUCCUUCAACUAAUUGAUCUCACUUUGCAAAGCCAUCUCAUGGGCAACAUGCAAACCUUUCAGUUCUACUUUCUCAGCCUUAGAUUGCCUUAUUUCUUUUUCUAAUGAUCCACAUCUUAAUUCCCAUUCUUUGAGCGUAUCUUUUUCUAAUGAUCCACAUCUUAAUUCCCAUUCUUUGAGCGUAGCAUCAAACAAGGUCUGCUUUUCUGACAAACUUGAAAUACCAGAUUGCAAUUGUUCCUUCUCCCUAGAGAAUUGUUCUUGGGCAUCAUGCAAUGAGGUGGUCCGAGUAACCUAAGAGUUUCGACAAAAAUCUCUUCUUUCUAAUAAUUUUAGUGUCUAAAGAGAAGUUAUAUUUAGGAUUUUGUAGAAUUUUUUUGUUAUUUCUAUAAUCCUAUUUGAUAACAAGCCAUUGAUGAAUUUGGGUUCUAGAGUAACCUAAGAGUUUCAACUAGGGGCUCAAACUUAUUGACUAUUGGUCCAUUAAAAAAAUAUAAUGGAGUGUUUCUGCAAUUUGGUUUUGGAUUAUUUGGUUUACUGUUUAAUAUAAUUGAGAUUUCAGCAUAAGAUUCCUAGGUUGGAGUUAUCAUUUUUUAUACAAUAUGGAAAAUCACUUUGAUGUUGACCUUUUUAAGCUGGCAACUACAUGGUACAAUGUUGUUUUCUUCUACUUCUAACAGAGUAACUAGCUUAAAAAUUAUUAUUAGUCAUUAUAGAAAGGAAGUUAUUAAGACCUGAAAUUUCAAGGAAGAAACUGAAAAACACAAGGAACUAAUUUUCUAUAAAAUUUGAUGUGAUUCAAAGAUUGUUUGUUUGGUUAGAGAAUUGAAGUUAGCACUUAACUUUGAGUGAGUUGAAAUGUGAUGCAAGAAUGAGCUUUCGAUAUGAAAUUUGGUGUGGCAACAUCUCUCAUACUGAAUCUAAACAUGUAAAAAGGGUUUAAGUAUUUUGUAGUGUAACAUAAUCUAUUUAUGCUUUUCAAUUCAUGUUUACUAUUUUAAGUCAUGAUAUUCAGUCACCUGGCAUACAGGAAAAAAAAAAAAAAAAAAAACAGUGACUGAAAUCCAUUUUGCAUUCCCUGUAUUUGAAGAGUGUUUCUGAUAAUGAGUAAGAUAUAUGAUUUGUUGCAGUGGGUAAUUUGGCUUUGGAAAAGUUUUUCCAUAUAAUAAAGCAUAGUCACACUCAUUAUGGCUUUGGGAAGCUGUAAGUGAAGGGUACCCGUACCAAUGCUGAGUAGCUCCUGUUCCUGUUGCGGUGAAUUUCAUGUAAGACGUGGUUGAGAUUUACAAUAGAAAUGGUAUGUUUAGCUAACUUCAAGCAAACCUAGCACAUCUUUCUCUUCCGCAAUUUGUGUUGUUUCAGAUCAUCACCUUCAUGAUCCUUUGUAUUUGAGAUAUUUACAUGAUAAAUAGUCUUCAAGUAUGUUCUUUUAGGUUAACACUAUAAUAAUUGAAAGCAAGAAACUCCUAAUUUGUAGGAUCUCCCUUCUUUGAUUACAAGGACUGCACUGCUCAUAUUGUCAUUUUCCUGUGGUGCUAAUGACUAACAUGAAUAUAUUCUUUUCUUAAGUUAUCAAUUUGUAUUUUACCAUAUAAUUAAAUGUUAUCAGUGUUUCUUCAUUUAUAUGGCUCGGAAAAAUACAAAAAGGUAAACUGUGGUUAGAAGUCAUUGGAUUCAUAUGAGCAUAAAAUGUUUGGGUUGGAAGAUCUAAUCAAAACUUUGAAAAACCAAAUCAAGGAGUUGAAGAAGAGGCUGUUCGAAUCAAAAUAGAACUUUAUCCGAUGACUUUUGUAAUAAACUUUUUGUUUUGCCAUUUCUUUCCAUACAAUGUAUUUCUUUGUUAUAGAAUGCUUUUUAUUUUUUCUUAUGCUAAGCACCUCAUGGUAAGCAAAAGUGAAGAAAAUUUUGCAUUAAAAAUGUCUAGACAUGGAUUCAUAUGUGCUAUGGAGACAUGGAGUGUUUAACAGCAAACUUAGUUAGAGAAC
Long non-coding RNA from Quercus lobata, 3248 nucleotides. RefSeq lists it as uncharacterized. Lineage: Eukaryota; Viridiplantae; Streptophyta; Magnoliopsida; Fagales; Fagaceae. The transcript has 5 exons. The record is from RefSeq and is a predicted model, not a curated record.